This 1179-nucleotide long non-coding RNA is filed under the name Lathyrus oleraceus (garden pea). RNAcentral's name for it is "Pisum sativum (pea) long non-coding RNA (PSAT_LNC003450)". Lineage: Eukaryota; Viridiplantae; Streptophyta; Magnoliopsida; Fabales; Fabaceae. The record is from RNAcentral.
GGAGGAGAGUGAGGUGGCGUUGGGUGAGGUUCCAGUGGGAGGGGUUGAGCGACGAAGAUCCGACGGUGGAGAUGUAAUGUGGCGGUUGAGGCGAGUGGGAGGAGAAAGAAGAGAUGAGUUUGGGAAGUGCGGUGGGUUUAGUGAAGGAGAGGUUAGGUUGUUGUAGUGAGAGAGUGUUGUUGAUGGUGGGUUUAGUGAAGGAGAGGUUAGGUUAGGUUAGAAAAACGGGUGGGUGGUUUGAAGGUUGAAAACGCAGGGAGGUUAGCAUCUCUGUGGAGUUUGGUGGUUGACACGGUGACGAAGAGUUUUCUCCACUGCUGAAACUGAAGCUUCCAUCUUCAUCUUCUCUUUACGUGUUGUGUGUGAGAUUCGGAGAUUGAAAUAAGCAGAAAACAAAAGUUGUGGCUUUGGAGUUCAUGAUGGUGGGAUGAUUAUGAAGAUUUUUUUUUAAUGAAAGACUUUAAACAGCGCUUUCUCAAAGCCGCUGACUAAGGUGUCUAUAUUUAAAGCUUUCUAAAAGCGCUGUCUAAGGGGGGGUCUUAGACAGCGCUUUUACAAAAGCGCUGUCUAAGACCCCCCCUUAGACAGCGCUUUCAUUAUUUUUUUGAACAUUUUCCGUGUUUUAUUUUUAUUUUAACCUUAGACAGCGCUUUCUUUUAAAAGCGUUGUCUAAGAUGCGCUGUUAAAAGUCAUUUUUGGCGUAGUGGACGUAUGAAUUGCUUCAUAUGGAAGACAAUGAAAGCAUAAUUGAUUUCUUCACCAAGGUUACGAAACUAGUGAAUCAAAUCAAGGUAUGUGGAGAAGUGUUGACAUCAAGAUCUGUCGUUGGAGAGAUCUUGAGGUCGUUGGCUCUAAAGUUCGAACACGUGGUAGUAGCCAUAGAAGAGUCGAAAGAUUUAUCAAAACUGACAAAGGAAGAGCUUCAAGGGACGCUUGAAUCUCAUGAACAAAGAAUGGUUGAAAGAGUUGCAGGAAAGUCGAAGAGUGAUAUGGUUUUACAGGCGCAAUCAGUAAAAGAAAGGAAAGGAAAAGGAAGUUGGACUGGCAACAAAGGCAUAUGAGGUUACAACAAUUCGACUGAUCGAAAUCAGCAAGAAGGAAACUGGUCGAAUAAGAGAAAACCCUGGAAUCAAGGCAACCAAAGAGGUGGUGUUGCAGGUAGAGGAAGAGGUGGUGGUC